GUCUGCAAAGUCUCCAUGUGUGAAGAGCCCACAGUGCCUCGGGAAAAAUUGGCUGAAUAAAAGGAGAAUUGAUCCACCAGAUGGAAAGAACACCAGAUUUUUUCCAGUGCUACCUUCUGUCUCCAUCUCAAUGAUCCCUUUUGCUCUGCUGAUGAUGACAGUUUCUCCUUCAUAGUCUCUCCCGCCUUCUCCAGACCAGGCUGGGAGGCAUCAGGGAUGCCCACCCCAGCCCCGAACACCCACUUACCCCAUUGGUGUCUGGCCACCUUCAUGUGUGCCAGCUUAAGUGGUUCUCCUAAAUUGCCUCCAGAGAGGUGGUGAACCAGCUACUCCGUCCUCCAGAGAAGAACCUGGCCAGCUCAAGCCUCCAUUGACCCUCUCCACAGCAUUUACUCUCAAAAAUACAAUUCCAGUACAGUAAAGAUUCUAGUCUCCCGGCGUGGAUUUCCAAUUACCCACACUCGGCCAAGUGGCAGCC
Molecule: long non-coding RNA, 478 nt
Organism: Neomonachus schauinslandi (Hawaiian monk seal)
Lineage: Eukaryota; Metazoa; Chordata; Mammalia; Carnivora; Phocidae
Exons: 3
Source: RefSeq, a predicted model, not a curated record